RNAcentral lists this ribosomal RNA (443 nucleotides) under uncultured bacterium. Its description in RNAcentral is "partial 16S ribosomal RNA". It matches the Rfam family "Bacterial small subunit ribosomal RNA", at positions 338 to 795 of the family's 1533-position model. The record is from RNAcentral.
CCUACGGGAGGCAGCAGUGGGGAAUAUUGCGCAAUGGGGGCAACUCUGAUGCAGCAACGCCGCGUGAACGAUGAAGGACUUCGGAAUGUAAAGCUCUUUUAUCAGGGAAGAAGAUAGCGGUGGCACCCUAGGAAGACGCCUCGACCAACUACGUGCCAGCCGCCGCGGUAAUACGGAGGCGGCAGGCGUUCUCCGGUAUGAGUGGGCGUAAAGGGUGCGUAGGUGGUUUAAAAAGUCAGUGGCGAAACACCGGGGCUCAACCUCGGAACUACUACUACAACUGUUCGGCUUGAGUGCAGGAGAGGCAAGCGGAAUUCCUAGUGUAGCGGUGGAAUGCGUAGAUAUUAGGAGGAACACCAGUGGCGAAGGCGGAUUGCUAGACUGUAACUGACGCUGAGGCACGAAAGCGUGGGGAGCAAACAGGAUUAGAUACCCGAGUAGUC